GGAAGUAAAAGUCGUAAACAAGGUUUCCGUAGGUGAACCUGCGGAAGGAUCAUUAGUGAACGCCCUCACGGGCUUAUAACUAUUCCAAACCUCUGUGAACCGUGCCCUUCGGGGCUAUUUUACAAACAUGGUGUAAUGAACGUCAUAUAUCAUAACAAAACAAAACUUUCAACAACGGAUCUCUUGGCUCUC
This 192-nucleotide unclassified non-coding RNA is filed under the name plant metagenome. RNAcentral describes it as "partial contains small subunit ribosomal RNA, internal transcribed spacer 1, and 5.8S ribosomal RNA". The stretch from base 1 to 55 matches the Rfam family "Eukaryotic small subunit ribosomal RNA", at positions 1778 to 1831 of the family's 1831-position model. The record is from RNAcentral.